GUCGCCCAGGCUGGAGUGCAGUGGCAUGAUCUCCACUCACUGCAAGCUCAGCUCCGCCUCCCAGGUUCAUGCCAUUCUCCUGCCCUCUGAGGGCAUUUCUACACAGCCUCACAGGGGUGACACCCAAGAGGCGAGAGGCGUGAUUCACGUGCUCCCUUUGCAGAGGUGGCUGCAGGGCCCCAGGCUCGGGCUACGGACAUGAAGAGGGGCCUCACAGGACUCCUAGCAGACAGGAAGCACCCGACUCUCAGGACUUCAGAGACAGCAGCGCUGACAGCAGCCACCUGUGAUCAAAUAUUCCUUUUGCUCCUUUUUCAGGCUUGGAGAGUCACUGCCAGAAGGCCACGUGCUUCCUGACAGCAUAGUGGCACAGGCUGUUAAGUCCUGGGAGAGAGAGGCAGGGCUGCCACCCCUCAAAGGACAGAGGGGAGGUGGCCUCAGAGCCCCACUCACAGCCCUGGGAACUUGAAUACCUCAAAGGCUGCAAAGACCUAGGCCCACACCCUGGCCACUCAGCCCCUGACACAACAGAAGCCCUCCUGGUCAUAUGGCUUUCAGAGAAAGGAGCCCAACUGCCACUGCUUUUCCCAACCCACUGUCCCCAUAGGAAUAGGAGGCUGAGAUGCUCCUGGGUGCUGAAUGGGAACCCCAGGCUAAAGGCGCAGAGGCAAGGCUGCAGGUGAUGAAAGUUGCAUGUCCUCCAAUCAGCCUUGCAAUCAGCCAUUCAUCCACUCACCCAAGACAAGUGGCAAUUCAAAAGCAGCUAACAUUUCUUAAGUGCC
RNAcentral lists this long non-coding RNA (782 nucleotides) under Homo sapiens (human). RNAcentral describes it as "HSALNT0181443". The record is from RNAcentral. Lineage: Eukaryota; Metazoa; Chordata; Mammalia; Primates; Hominidae.